Molecule: long non-coding RNA, 463 nt
Organism: Peromyscus californicus insignis
Lineage: Eukaryota; Metazoa; Chordata; Mammalia; Rodentia; Cricetidae
Exons: 3
Source: RefSeq, a predicted model, not a curated record
AGGUCUUGGGAACACACAUUCAUAGAAGAGGGGACUCAUCCAUAUUCUGGCUUUCCACUGUGCUGAAAUGAAGUAUGGACACAUUUGAUAGAGAGAAGAAAUAGUUGACAUGGAUGUUCAAAACAAAACAUCUUGUGCCUACAGUUUGGAUGACAACCUUGCACCCUGGAUUUCAGUCUCUUCUUUGGCAAAAUGAACCAGGGUCAAAACCUAGGAUAUUCCAGAGCAGUGGAAUGAACUGUACAUGUUACGCAUCUAAGGGUCCAAUGACCAGCAUGUGGAGAGCACAGUCACAGCUCAUUUGAAAGACGAACUAACACAUCUCUGUUCAAACACUUUAACAGCAUCCCCAUCUGAAUUCUACUUGGGGAGAAGUUCAUUGGCACAGCUCACUUACUUGGCCACUUUUCUGAGAAAAACAGUGAGUAAUUUCUCUGCUUACAGGAAUAGAAGCAGAAAAAGC